RNAcentral lists this ribosomal RNA (133 nucleotides) under uncultured bacterium. RNAcentral describes it as "partial 16S ribosomal RNA". It matches the Rfam family "Bacterial small subunit ribosomal RNA", at positions 379 to 529 of the family's 1533-position model. The record is from RNAcentral.
GCAUCUGAUGCAGCGACGCCGCGUGAGUGAAGAAGUAUUUCGGUAUGUAAAGCUCUAUCAGCAGGGAAGAUAAUGACAGUACCUGACUAAGAAGCCCCGGCUAACUACGUGCCAGCAGCCGCGGUAAUACAAA